GGAGGAAAAGAAACCAACAGGGAUUACCUUAGUAACGGCGAGUGAAGCGGUAAUAGCUCAAAUUUGAAAUCUGGCUCUAGGGUCCGAGUUGUAAUUUGUAGAGGAUGUUUCGGGUGCGCCCGCAGUUUAAGUUCCUUGGAACAGGACGUCAUAGAGGGUGAGAAUCCCGUCUUGAAGUGUACGGCAAGUCCAUGUGAAACUCCUUCGACGAGUCGAGUUGUUUGGGAAUGCAGCUCAAAAUGGGAGGUAAAUUUCUUCUAAAGCUAAAUAUUGGCCAGAGACCGAUAGCGCACAAGUAGAGUGAUCGAAAGAUGAAAAGCACUUUGAAAAGAGAGUUAAACAGUAUGUGAAAUUGUUAAAAGGGAAGCGUUUGCAACCAGACUUGUUUCUAACAGUUCUACCGCAGUUCUCUGUGGCUUAUUCUGUUAGUCCAGGCCAGCAUCAGUUUGGGUGGCUCGUUAAAGACUUUGGGAAUGUAUCUACUCCUUCGGGUGUAGACUUAUAGCCCAUUGUGUAAUAGGGUCUACCUGGACUGAGGUACGCGCAUUGCUCGGAUGCUGGCGUAAUGGUUGUAAACGAC
RNAcentral lists this ribosomal RNA (580 nucleotides) under Neophaeomoniella zymoides. RNAcentral describes it as "eukaryotic LSU rRNA". It matches the Rfam family "Eukaryotic large subunit ribosomal RNA", at positions 52 to 648 of the family's 3401-position model. The record is from RNAcentral. Lineage: Eukaryota; Fungi; Ascomycota; Eurotiomycetes; Phaeomoniellales; Phaeomoniellaceae.